Molecule: ribosomal RNA, 371 nt
Filed under: uncultured prokaryote
Description: bacterial SSU rRNA
Rfam family: Bacterial small subunit ribosomal RNA
Source: RNAcentral
UACGGAGGGUGCUAGCGUUGUUCGGAAUUACUGGGCGUAAAGCGCGCGUAGGUGGCUUGUGAAGUCUGAUGUGAAAGCCCCCGGCUCAACCGGGGAAGUGCAUUGGAAACCAGCAAGCUUGAGAAUAGCGGGGGAUCGUGGAAUUCCUGGUGUAGCAGUGAAAUGCGUAGAUAUCAGGAAGAACACCGGUGGCGAAGGCGACGAUCUAAGCUAUCUCUGACACUAAAGCACGAAAGCGUGGGGAGCAAACAGGAUUAGAUACCCUGGUAGUCCACGCCGUAAACGAUGGGUACUAGGUGUCGGCCCUUUUAGGGUCGGUGCCGAAGCUAACGCAUUAAGUACCCCGCCUGGGAAGUACGGUCGCAAGGCUG